Schistosoma haematobium is the source of this 45-nucleotide non-coding RNA. NCBI's taxonomy places the organism in Eukaryota, Metazoa, Platyhelminthes, Trematoda, Strigeidida, Schistosomatidae. The record is from Rfam.
AUCCAGAUGACGCGUCCUAAAUAGGACGAAACGUGCGUUUUGGAU